Molecule: long non-coding RNA, 316 nt
Organism: Etheostoma spectabile (orangethroat darter)
Lineage: Eukaryota; Metazoa; Chordata; Actinopteri; Perciformes; Percidae
Exons: 3
Source: RefSeq, a predicted model, not a curated record
UCUGUCUCCAGGGUCCAGCUUUGCCAACAGGAAGCUGUUGGAGCAGUUAACAGAAGAAGGACAAGAGAAGGAGAAGAUGCGAGAGAGCUGGACGAGGGCCAAGAAGACAGCAGAGAAGAGGAAGGCAUGCUGGAUGACAUGGCCAUGCCAGCUGAACAGGAGAAGUCGACCACAAGGAGGCGCUGUCGGACCUCAAGCAUGCAGCCCGAAUCGAAGGAGGUCCGUCGGGUGACGAGCUCGUAUGAGAAGAGUCUCCGAGGCCUCCAUGAGACAGAACUCUCGAGGAGGAGAUCCGGCAGCAGCUCGAGCUGAAAAG